This 82-nucleotide transfer RNA is filed under the name Sphingobacteriales bacterium. RNAcentral's name for it is "tRNA-Tyr". It matches the Rfam family "tRNA". Rfam says of the family: Transfer RNA (tRNA) molecules are approximately 80 nucleotides in length. RNAcentral also lists the same sequence under 1 other name. The record is from RNAcentral. Lineage: Bacteria; Pseudomonadati; Bacteroidota; Sphingobacteriia; Sphingobacteriales.
GGGCGAUUACCAGAGUGGCCAAAUGGGGCAGACUGUAAAUCUGCUGGUUAUACCUUCGGUGGUUCGAAUCCAUCAUCGCCCA